AAGAGGAGCCGUCCGCCCAGGGCCUGGGAGGUCCCCACAUGGUGAGGUGGCCGCAGAAAAUCAGCCAGAAGGACACGGUUUGCUGCUUCUGCUCUGAAGCAGCCGGCGUCCUUCUUCAGGAUGCUCUCUGUGGCUGUCACCGUGGACCCCCGAGAUGUGCAAGUUGAGGCACACAGACGCUCUGGAGCCCACAGCACCGCGCUGAAGCUGGAAUCCCACCUCAGGCAGUCUGGCUGGAACCUCAGUGCUCUCACUAUUUCCCGGAGGAGGGGGGACGACGGCCCUGCCCAGGUCCUCAGACCUCUGCCGGCAGGGAACCUUGGCCAGGCAUCCACCACACCCAGGAGAUGCGUGGCUUCCGGGCAAGGCUGCACUGAGACAGGACCAGCGACGGAUAACUUCGCUUCGAAUCAGAGAUGCGCUCUCCCAGAAGUCACAGGCAAAUCUAAUUUUUAUAAAUCAUGUCCUAUCUCGAAUACCUUAGGGGAAUUCAUAACUUAAAAAAACCCGUCUGUGUUCCUUUAUAAUUGCUGCCUAAUAUAACUCUCAGUUUGAAAUGCCAUGAGCAACUCUGCAGGGCAACGGGACUCCAGAAGGGGCUCUUCAGGUGUACGUACCGUUUUGGGGGGGUAGGGAAUAAAUAAGAUCCUCUUUCACAUGCCCUA
Dama dama (fallow deer) is the source of this 665-nucleotide long non-coding RNA. RefSeq lists it as uncharacterized. The record is from RefSeq and is a predicted model, not a curated record. Lineage: Eukaryota; Metazoa; Chordata; Mammalia; Artiodactyla; Cervidae. The transcript has 2 exons.